This 291-nucleotide unclassified non-coding RNA is filed under the name Hevea brasiliensis (rubber tree). The record is from RNAcentral. Lineage: Eukaryota; Viridiplantae; Streptophyta; Magnoliopsida; Malpighiales; Euphorbiaceae.
GUUUUAUUAAUCCCAACCUCAUAGCUCCUAACGAUAAACUUCUCCUUAUAAGACAAGCCAUCCUCCGUCAAGCUCCCCAAGCGGAGGCGGUUGGUCAAGCUCUCACGGACAGAAUCGACACGGGUAGUCCCUCCCUCAGACACAACAGCCUGAACGACGGAGCUCUUAGAGACAGGGGAGCAUAAAACGACUACAUUGGGGCGGCAAGUGAAACGAGGCCUGUUAUGGUGAUGGGUAAGGAAUCUACAUUGAGAAGCUAGGGCUUGGAUUUGGUCCGCAGAAUUACAGGGC